AACGAACGCUGGCGGCAGGCCUAAUACAUGCAAGUCGAGCGCGCCCUUCGGGGUGAGCGGCGGACGGGUGAGUAACGCGUGGGAAUAUGCCCUUCUCUAAGGAAUAGCCUCUGGAUACGGAGAGUAAUACCUUAUACGCCCUUUGGGGGAAAGAUUUAUCGGAGAAGGAUUAGCCCGCGUUAGAUUAGGUAGUUGGUGGGGUAAUGGCCUACCAAGCCUACGAUCUAUAGCUGGUUUGAGAGGAUGAUCAGCCACACUGGGACUGAGACACGGCCCAGACUCCUACGGGAGGCAGCAGCAGGGAAUCUUAGACAAUGGGGGCAACCCUGAUCUAGCCAUGCCGCGUGUGUGAUGAAGGCCCUAGGGUCGUAAAGCACUUUCGCCAGAGAUGAUAAUGACAGUAUCUGGUAAAGAAACCCCGGCUAACUCCGUGCCAGCAGCCGCGGUAAUACGGAGGGGGUUAGCGUUGUUCGGAAUUACUGGGCGUAAAGCGCACAUAGGCGGAUUAGUAAGUUAGAGGUGAAAUCCCAGGGCUCAACCCUGGAACUGCCUUUAAUACUGCUAGUCUUGAGUUCGAGAGAGGUAAGUGGAAUUCCGAGUGUAGAGGUGAAAUUCGUA
This 618-nucleotide ribosomal RNA is filed under the name uncultured Alphaproteobacteria bacterium. Its description in RNAcentral is "bacterial SSU rRNA". It matches the Rfam family "Bacterial small subunit ribosomal RNA", at positions 28 to 692 of the family's 1533-position model. Lineage: Bacteria; Pseudomonadati; Pseudomonadota; Alphaproteobacteria. The record is from RNAcentral.